This 299-nucleotide long non-coding RNA is filed under the name Arachis ipaensis. RNAcentral describes it as "long non-coding RNA (AIPA_LNC002264)". Lineage: Eukaryota; Viridiplantae; Streptophyta; Magnoliopsida; Fabales; Fabaceae. The record is from RNAcentral.
ACCUUGAUAUUUUUGCCCCCUCAAAAAAAGAUAUCAGAACUUUUUAAUAUACAUUUACUAAAGGAUUUACUUGUUACUAAUGGAAUCUAACCCCUGUUCUUCUUUAGAUCUACUUGUUUCACUCCGAUAGUAUCAUAAAUUGAGUCAAUGCAUAGAAAAUGAAUGCAUUUCAAUACUAUUAAGUUAAGUGAAAUCGAUAAGACAGAAUCCGUAUUAGACCACUUCACUUAUUUUAGUGGAUCUUACAAAGUUCGGUCAUCCAGGACAUGAUCAAGUCUGAUCAUAGAAAAGAAUCUCUU